GACGAACGCUGGCGGCGUGCUUAACACAUGCAAGUCGAACGGAAAGGCCCUGCUUUUUUGGGGUGCUCGAGUGGCGAACGGGUGAGUAACACGUGAGUAACCUGCCCUUGACUUUGGGGUAACUUCAGGCAACUGGGGCUAAUACCGGAUAGGAGCUCCUGCUGCAUGGUGGGGGUUGGAAAGUUUCGGCGGUUGGGGAUGGACUCGCGGCUUAUCAGCUUGUUGGUGGGGUAGUGGCUUACCAAGUCUUUGACGGGUAGCCGGCCUGAGAGGGUGACCGGCCACAUUGGGACUGAGAUACGGCCCAGACUCCUACGUGAGGCAGCAGUGGGGAAUAUUGCACAAUGGGCGGAAGCCUGAUGCAGCAACGCCGCGUGCGGGAUGACGGCCUUCGGGUUGUAAACCGCUUUCGCCUGUGACGAAGCGUGAGUGACGGUAAUGGGUAAAGAAGCACCGGCUAACUACGUG
Molecule: ribosomal RNA, 468 nt
Filed under: uncultured bacterium
Lineage: Bacteria
Description: partial 16S ribosomal RNA
Rfam family: Bacterial small subunit ribosomal RNA
Source: RNAcentral